AACGAACGCUGGCGGCAGGCCUAACACAUGCAAGUCGAACGCCCUAGCAAUAGGGAGUGGCGCACGGGUGAGUAACGCGUGGGAACGUGCCUUUCAGUCUGGAAUAACUGCGGGAAACUGCAGCUAAUACCGGAUAUUCUCUACGGAGGAAAGAUUUAUCGCUGAAAGAUCGGCCCGCGUUAGAUUAGGUAGCUGGUGGGGUAAUGGCCUACCAAGCCUACGAUCUAUAGCUGGUCUGAGAGGAUGAUCAGCCACACUGGAACUGAGACACGGUCCAGACUCCUACGGGAGGCAGCAGUGGGGAAUAUUAGACAAUGGGCGCAAGCCUGAUCCAGCCAUGCCGCGUGAGUGACGAAGGCCUUAGGGUUGUAAAGCUCUUUUGUCAGGGAAGAUAAUGACGGUACCUGAAGAAUAAGACACGGCUAACUUCGUGCCAGCAGCCGCGGUAA
This 449-nucleotide ribosomal RNA is filed under the name uncultured bacterium. RNAcentral describes it as "partial 16S ribosomal RNA". It matches the Rfam family "Bacterial small subunit ribosomal RNA", at positions 29 to 523 of the family's 1533-position model. The record is from RNAcentral.